Molecule: long non-coding RNA, 7532 nt
Filed under: Vigna radiata
Lineage: Eukaryota; Viridiplantae; Streptophyta; Magnoliopsida; Fabales; Fabaceae
Description: long non-coding RNA (VRAD_LNC000464)
Source: RNAcentral
UUUGGACUUAAACCCGAUGAAUCGUUUAUCUUAAUUGAGUUAAUUUUUAAUCAUAUUAUAUUAAGUUUAAAAAUUUAUAGUAUGUCAUUAGCUCUAAUAAUAUGACAUAUAUUCAGUCAUACCGCUUAGUAGUAGUCAAUAAAUAUAUUUCAAGUACCAGGUUUUCGUAUCAACGAAUUGGAUAGCUUAGUUGGAAAAUUCGUGAACAUUUGAUUUUCUAGUGUUUUUAUCUUAAUUGACUGGUUUGAUUAUAAAUUUAUUUAUUUCAGCCUAUUGAAACUAUAGGAUACCAAAAAAUUAAAAAAUAGUAUUAAUCAGAAGUAUCCAUGUCCACAAUCAAUUAAAAAGAUUAGUUAGAACUUUAUUCUAAAAGAAAAAUAUAUUUUUUUUAUUCUUUCUGUGAGUUACCAAUUAAUGGUGUUAGAUAAAUUAGAUCAUGAUUUUUAAGUGUAGUAAAAGAUUAAAGCCUCAACUUUGUAGUAAUUAUUCUAUGUUGAGACGGUAAUCUUUGUAUCUUAAAAAUCAUGAUUCAAUUUAUCCAACAUUAUUAAUUGAUAGCUUAGAGAAAAUAUAAAAAAAUAUAUUUUCUCUUUAGAACAAAAUUCCAACCAACCUUUUUAGAUGAUUGAGGACAUGGACACAUUUAAGUAACAAUAUUUUUUAAAUUUCAGAUAUUCCAAAACUUCAACAAGCUCAAAUAAACCAAUUCAUUAGUCAAACCAAUCAAUUCAGAUAAAAACACUAACUAUCAUGGAAGCAGCCUAACAAUUAGGAAUUAUUAGAAAAGUUUAGUUUGCAAGAUAGAAAGAAACCUAGAUCCUUCAGAAACUAACAUUUCCCUUAUAGUUCGUUCGUCAUGCUUGAGAUGAAACAUGUGCUCCAUUGACACCACCCAUUGAACUAGCAAUAAAAUGAUAACAAAUUAGAUUCAAAUAAAAUAUAAAGUUUAUUAAGGACCAAUAACUAAACGAUCAAGAAAUCAGUAAUUUUAUUAGUUUUUCAAAUUAAAAAGAAAAACGUCACUUACCAUAUUGCAGUUCGACAGAUAGCGGAAAAAGGUCGUUUUUUUCACAAUUUUUGGCUCCAUUUAUAAAAAAAAACGAGAAGUGGAACUGCAAGAAAUGGAUUCAUCCCUUUGCAGUUCGACACCUCCUAUUGGUUUUAUGUGGUGCCAAAAAUUGUAGGAAGACAACCUUUCUCCCCUGUCUCUUAAAUAUCUUGUACAAACACACCAAAAUAGCUUAUCUGAGCACUGAUGUUAGCCAAUACUCUUUCUAUCACUAACCUUUAAAUCAAAUUAAGAAUAUAUAGAUGUUGAUUUAAUCAUACUGAGUUACAAUUGAAUAAAUGUUUAUGAUCAUUGUGUAAAGGAAUAUAUAUAUAUAUAUAUAUAUAUAUAUAUAUAUAUAUAUAUAUAUAUAAGUAUAUAUAUAUAUAUAUAUAUAUGUAAGUAUAUAUAUAUAUAUCAUUUAAUUAGCAGUUUUUCUUCAAAAUGGUUGUAUUAAAUGUUCUUAUUGUAUGACUACAGAUAAAAUUACGGGAUGUUAAACAACAAAAGUUUCUUAGAGUGUUAUCGAGUAAAAUCUAUGUGUCCGCAUCCAACUAAUGUAGGUGAUGUUUCGUUUUACCUGCAUCACUGCGUUUAUACUUGAACUAAGGAUUUUUUUUUAUAACUACACAAUAAUUUGUUAGCCGCUAAUAUUCAUAUUUUAUAAACUUUCAUAUAGGUUCUAAAAAUUGAAUAUUUCGUAUAUGGGACUUGAGAUGUAAAUUCACAUCCAAAAGAUUUCUUAGUAGUGGACUUGUUUCUCAAGUCCCAAAUAUGAAAUAAUCGAUCUCUAGAACCACAAACAAUAAUAUCUGAAAGUUUAUAAAAAAAAAUGAGUAUUAACCACUAAAAAAUCAUUAUAUAGUUAUAAAAAAAAUUCUGCAGUUCAAGUAUAAACACAGUAAUGCAUGUAAAACGAAUCGCAUUAGUUGGAUGGGGACAUAUAGAUCUCACACUUACUGUGUACCCGAUGAACACUCCAAGACACUUUUGUUCUUUUAACAUUCCAUAAUUUUAUUUGUAAACAUAUAAUAAGAACAUUCAACACAAAAUCAUUUUGAAGAAAAACUGUUAAUUAAAUAUUAUAUAUAUCCCUUUACACAAUAUUCAUAAAAAUUUAUUCAAUUAUAACUGGCUAUGAUUAAAUCAACAAUAAAAAUAAACCUACUAAUAUAAAUAAGUGAACACAUUCUAGCAACUAAUAGAAUAGGCUGAGACAACAGAAAGAAAGCAGAUUGAAUGAACUUCAACAUAUUAUCUUUCAUUUCUAUAAUAUUAUGCUAAGAAGAAAGAAAAAGCAUAUAAAACAAUAUCUUUCCUGCAACAAACAAGAGGGAAUUUGAUUAUAACCUUUUACUGUAGGCAAGAGGUUGACCUUUUCCAAGGAACUAUGUGGCACAGGAGUAAUGACAUAGAGCACACCUUAUACUGUGUCAAUGCCCCUCACAAUCCCUGAAACAUAAGAAAUCAAGAUGUGUUAAAAAAUGAAUUGCUUAGAAUUAUCAAAAUGCAUAACUACACCUGUUACACAAAAAAUGACAGAUAGCCAGUAAGUUCAUCACAUGUUUAAUCAUGGAAUACCCAAAUUGGCUGACAAAUACAGGGUUGAACACAGAUCCAAGGCAAAAAAUAUGUCAUCCAACUCUGUUUACAAAAAAUUUCACAGUAAUCAGAAAUGACCCCAAUCCCAACCACUCCAUUCCCUAAAAAGAGACACAGAGAAUAAUGCCUGGGACCCUAGACUUUUACAGCUUCCUAAGAAAAAGGAACAACCAUGUACAAGACAAAAUCAUAUGAAAAAUGUCAAUGUAUAAUAUUUUUUCUACUUUUGUAUGACAGAGAGAUCAGUUGUCAAGAGCGGUUCUACUUAGUCCAGAAGCAUGAAAUUCAAGCAAUCAUUUUGACAUAACUGACAAUUGGAGAAUACAACAUGCCAAAACUUUACCCACUCCAAUUAACAUGAAUACUGAAUAGAUGUUAAAUGCUGUCAAAAAUCAGCAGCCUUAUCAAAUGUUUUAAAGAUUCAAAGUAACAUAACAAAAAUUAAAAAAACAAAAUUUCAGUUCCCAAAUUAUUGAGAUGAGAAAGCACCAUACCUCUAUGGUGUUUUCAGGCAUGGAACUGUUAAAUCUAAAAUAAUUAAAAAAAAUGAAUAAUUUUUACAUAAAUUGUAAAUUGUGUAUUAUUAAGGAAUCUUGGCGACAUCAUGUGCAUAUAUACACAAUUUAUUAGAAAUUUGAUUGUGUUUAGGUUUUUAAAUUCACCGUGAUUGCCAGUGUUGAUGCGUUCAUCUGCAGUUUGUUGGGUCUGACUGUUGUGUUAGGGUUUUUGGAGUCAUUUCAACAUAUUACCUCAAACUUUGAAGAAAACAUAGGUAUUUUUUCUUAGUUCUUCUUUAUUUGUUGAGUUAUAUGAGGAAAGAAAUAUAGAAACGAGAGAGUUGUGUCGUUGGUUGUGUGAAAUUUUUUUUUUUAACUCAGAGGUAAAGAAGAUCUGCCAUUGGGUUUCGCAUCAAAAAAUUGUUUUUAAUACUGAUUGGAUCAAGGUACAUGCAAUUUAUAUAUCUUUUAAUUCAUUUAAUACAUUAUUAUUUGAGCUAUUUAUUUUUGGUAUUUUGUGCAUGACUUGACACAGUUUGUAAUUAUUUAUAGAGAACAGACAAAUUCUCACUGUGUAUGGUAAUCAAACAGUAAAUCACUCUUGCAUCCACAGAAUAACAUAUUACACUGUGGAUGUAAGAGUGACUUACUGCUUGAUCAACAUUAACAAUGACCAAUUUGUCUGUCCUCCUGUAAAUAAUUACAAUCUAUGUCAAGUCAUGCACAAAACAUCAAAAAUAAAUAGCUCAAAUAAUAAUGUAUUAAAUGAAUUAAAAGAUAUAUGAAUUGCAUGUAUCUUAAUCCAACAAGUAUCAACAACAACAUUCUAAUACAAAACCCAGAUCUUCUCUUCUUCUGAAUUAAAAAGGAAAAAAUUUCAUUCGACCACAAAACCUGUGCCGCUUCUAUAUUCUUUUCAUCAUAUUACUCAAAACAAAUAAAGAAAAAAAAAAAAAAUACUUGUGUUUUCUUCAAAGUUUAAGGUAUCGGAGCAUUUGCUACGAGUAUCAAACAAGCUAACAUAACCAUCUUCAGACACAACAAGAAUGUGUGCAAAUUUCGUAGUCUGCAAAACAAAAUAAAUAAGGAGCCCAGGUUAUAUUUGCAGUUUCAUCACAACGUUUGAUAUUGUAGAAAAUUGCAAACAAAUCCAGCCAAUGGAGCUGCAAGUGCAAUCACAGUGAUUUCUAAAACCUCAACAGCCCACUCAAUUCUAGUAAAUUGAGGACAAAUGAGGCCAGUGCAGCCAGGAUUACGGGUGGGCAAACUGCAUUGUUUGUACUGUACUAUAAACCAAUUACAAUUAACAAUAAAAUAGUUCAAAUAAGUUAGAUUGAACUAAAAAAUAGUUCAAAAAAACUGAACUGAACUAUUAUUUUAGUCUAGUUAACUGCAAUAUAGUUAAUUCACCUGGACAAAUUAGAGGCAAUUACAGACUUUUCUACUAAAGUGAGUUUCUUAAACUAAGACUGAAAUUCAUCAAGUUCAAGCUCAAGAAUAGCACACCCAAAUACUUCUAGAGAUACCCAGACUAGAAAAUCAUCAAGCCAUGAGGCAGCUGGCUUGGCAAUAUAACUUGUGUCUAGUACUAGGGUCGCUUUAGCAAUCUACAAGGUAAAGAGACGUCAUCCAUUAAAGGGAGUAUCCAAGUUAUCACAUGUAGGAAAAGAUCAACAAUUACUUUAGCACACAAGUAGAUUGAUAGGCAAUUGAUAAGAAAUUGUAAACCACAAUCCUUAAAACUGAUGGUUCGCAAUAGGUUUAACACUAUAAACAAUAACAUACUACUACUGCUAGCAUAGAUGGGAUCGACAAUACAAAAUUACACAUAGUUAGGAAUCCCAUCCAUUUUUAAGUGAAAUCAUGAACUAUGAUUAACCUUCGAAAUUGCAUAAAUGAGGCAGAGCAAAACACAAGUCAGAAAUAGUGAGUAUUCAUAUUAUAACUAAUAAAAUAUAAAAAGGGAAUAUCAACCACUGCAUGUAUUUUAUCUAAUAAUCAUUUGAAUUGGAGAUAACGGAAACAUGGGAGUGACAACACUCGUUCUCAUUAAUGGAAUAUCAACCACAGCAUAUGUUUUAAUCCAGACAUCAAUCCUGAUCAACAAGUUCUAUAAACACUUACGUAGCAUUCGGUGCACGAACAAAACAAAAAUGGAAUAUCCUAUUCUGUUCCGUGCACUUUUAAGCAGAACAAAAAUGAAAUAUUUUCUAACCUUAAGUUGUCCUAAAAUAUUUUUAAACGACCCAAAUAUGAAAUAAACUCAUAUUCUGUUAUGCACAUAUAUCAAAUGUUAUUAUGCUACCUUAUUUUGACUAAUAGAUUUACCAUUUACAACAUCUACAUUUGCUAAGACGGGUCAAACAUAAAAGAAAGAUUACUGGAAAAAGAGAGAACUAGCUAUGAGGGGAGGGAAAUCAGAAUUGGUCGAGAAGACCAACUUGUGUACCCUUGUAAAUUUUGAGUUCUCAGGACAAGGAAGAUGAAACGAGAAAGGGUAACCCCAUAGGCUCAGAGAUGGACAGAGUUUGACAUUUAUUAAAUGCCUCUUUUUUCUUGGGAAAAGGUAAAUUGAUAAUUAUGCUGACAAAACUUGAACAAAACAAUUGAUAUGGAUUCGUGCAACCAAAACUAUGAUUGUCCAACAGUGAUGUUAGACUCUAUUCAAAUUGCCUUUGAGUGGUAUUGAUAUAGAUUGAAUUCAACAGCAACAUGUUAGUUCAAAUACAGGAAACAACGAACAUAGUCACGCCUAAUAGGCAGUACUUAUAUGUGACAGUAAGAAAAACUACCAAAAUUCAACACACCAAGUACAUAUUCAGAAUUAUUUGACUAGAACUUGGCAUAAAUGUAAUUACUAUAAUCUACAACCAAAUAUAAACCAAUUCCCUUCAGAUAAUUCCUCGAAAGCAACACUGGUUAACAAUUAAAUGUAUUAACUAAAACAAACAUAUAAAUAAACCAGAGAUGAAAAACAAGUAUAUAACACUUCUAUGUUUAUAGGAGUUUCUGUUGCAUGCACACGACAACUUUUACAAAAGUAUUGUCACUGUCAUUACAAUGCUCUCACAACCCAAGCAGUAUUACCAUACACUUAUAAUUUUAAUUUUAAAGGCAGUCCAUUAUAAAAAUCAAGUAGAUCACUAGAAAUUAAGCUACAUAAAAGUCACCUGGAAAUUAAGAGAGUUGUUAGAUAUCAUUAAAAUUUCCCAUAUAUUGAUCUUGAGACUUCUUUUUUCUAUAAAAUAUUUCUGUAAAGCUUUUCAGUGCUAGGUAGGAAGAAUAAAUAUUUCUUUAAACUUUUGGAUUUAAACUGACUCCCAUGCGACUCAAACAAUUAAAUCAUAACAAGACAAUGUAGUAGUAGGUGAGGAUUAAUAUAUGGAUCAGACAAUGUUCUUUGGCUAGAUUAAGGACCUUGAAGGUUGUGAUUAGACUGGGCUUAUCAUGGUAACUCCACGUAAUAAUCCAUCCAAAUAGGGCAGUAAUCAUUCCUAAAUUAGAAAAACACACAACCAGUUGACCUUUCACAAAGAUAUUCAAAAUCAAAGCCUCCAGGCAUACAAAAAAGAAUUCCCCAGUUUCUUUGUCCACCUUCUUUGGAUUCAGGAUGAUCGAGUGUUCGCUUCUUAUCCUCUCCAAAAUUUGUGAGAGUAGACGAAGAAAAGAAGAAGGAAUGCAGCACAACCUCAAACCUUGACGACCCAGAAACCAAGGAAACACAAAAAUUAACAAAAAAGAGGAGAAGGGUGAAGAAAAAUAACCUGUAUCCCACCACUUAUGCAGAAAGAUAAAAACCUUACAUAAAUCUGAAAAUACAUGAACAACACAGGAAAAACAUUUGUACCUUAGGUUCCAUAGUUGCUUCUCUUUUCCAGGAGAACUGUUCUCAGAAUCUUCGACAAUGGUAAUAGAACCUUCGAGACAGUUCGACGACGGCAAAGUGUGGCAAAGCCUUUUCGAUAAUUCGGCAAAACCUUUGACAGCAGCGAGUCUUCAACCGCGACGAGCCUUCGACGGGGUGACGAGCCUUCCACGGUAAGAGCGAGAACCUUCCAGGGCAACAAGACUUCAAGGCCGCGAGUUUUCGAGAGAAGGAAAAAGGAGUGAAAAAUAAGAACUAUAUUUUCAGGUUCAGGGAUUAUUCAUGUGUUAGCAAAGAGAAUCAUUUCAGUAGCAUAUUAGCAAGGUAAUAGCUAUUAUAGUUUACUUAUAUUAUCAUUUUUCAUUAUUUGCUAAAAUACAAUUUUGUUUACUGUUAUUUAUAUUUAUACACAGUGAAUAUUCAUCUGUGGAUCUUUAGCAUUGAAAUUACAAUCAUGAUUGCUUGCAGGAUGAUUAUUUCUCUUGGAGUUUGAGAUUUUAGUGUUUUUUUUUCAUGGUCG